GUGCCAGCAGCCGCGGUAAUACUAAAGGUGCAAGCGUUAAUCGGAAUUACUGGGCGUAAAGCGCGCGUAGGUGGUUUGUUAAGCGGAAUGUGAAAGCCCAGGGCUCAACCUUGGAACUGCAUUGCGAACUGACAAACUAGAGUACGGUAGAGGUGAGUGGAAUUUCCUGUGUAGCGGUGAAAUGCGUAGAGAUGGGAAGGAACACCAGUGGCGAAGGCGACUCACUGGACUGAUACUGACACUGAGGUGCGAAAGCGUGGGGAGCGAACAGGAUUAGAUACCCGUGUAGUCCC
Molecule: ribosomal RNA, 293 nt
Filed under: uncultured bacterium
Lineage: Bacteria
Description: partial 16S ribosomal RNA
Rfam family: Bacterial small subunit ribosomal RNA
Source: RNAcentral